ACUAAGCGUACACGGUGGAUGCCCUGGCAGUCAGAGGCGAUGAAGGACGUGCUAAUCUGCGAUAAGCGUCGGUAAGGUGAUAUGAACCGUUAUAACCGGCGAUUUCCGAAUGGGGAAACCCAGUGUGAUUCGUCACACUAUCAUUAACUGAAUCCAUAGGUUAAUGAGGCGAACCGGGGGAACUGAAACAUCUAAGUACCCCGAGGAAAAGAAAUCAACCGAGAUUCCCCCAGUAGCGGCGAGCGAACGGG
This 251-nucleotide ribosomal RNA is filed under the name Escherichia coli. Its description in RNAcentral is "partial 23S ribosomal RNA". It matches the Rfam family "Bacterial large subunit ribosomal RNA", at positions 10 to 261 of the family's 2925-position model. The record is from RNAcentral. Lineage: Bacteria; Pseudomonadati; Pseudomonadota; Gammaproteobacteria; Enterobacterales; Enterobacteriaceae.